AGGAGGAUGAGUUCAGUCACUUCCAGGCCAUGUGAAGGCAGGUGUCCUACAGGUGACUGGACUUGGAGAAGGGCAGUGGGCUGCCUUUUGAGAGUGUCCCUGUCACUACAGGUGUGCAAACAGCUUCAGGACAAUCGCUGGCCUGGGAUAUCAUGGGCCGAUUUCAUACACCAGGUAGAAGGUUGGAGUUGACAACAGUUGAGGUACCUCUCAGCUGGGAGUUUCGGGGAGCAUUGGCUGGAAAGACGUCAUUGAGUGCAGUUCCUGAAGGUUCCACCGGCUCCAAACCAAGGAGGGGACAAAGGACUGACAUACUGAGCGUACCAUAUGGAAGGCUCUGUUGGGUAGUGCUAAGGAUGUCGGUGCGAAGUUGAAGACACAAUUCCUAAAGGCCUUCCCACCUUCCAAUCUCUGCAGCGUGCUGGGCCGUUUCUGCUGCCAGGGGUGCUCAUCCUCGAGCCUACCCAUCUCUUAAACUCCAACUCAGAAAGCCUGCUUGAAACAGCGCCAGCCACAUCUGACUCCUCUCCCCUUCGAAUGCCCAGCACAUUCAGUCUGUACCUUUCUCAUGGCACAGCGUGUGGCCUAUCUCAUAGUCUACUGAUCUGUUUACUAAUCCUGUUCUUAAAACCAGAUUAAAAAGUCCUUGAGGCAGAAACAAAGUCUGCCUCUUUGAGGCCUUCCCCCCACCCCAAUCAUUUGAGCUCAUCCCCCACAGGCCAAGUUUGGCACUGGAGUUUAUGUUCAAUAAAUGUUGGGUGUAUUGAAAUGAUUUCCUGCCCUUGGGCAGUUUGCAGACCUGUUGAAGAGACAAACACCCAGCUUGUGAGGUUAAAUUAUAACCCAAGGCAGCAGGUGGGGAGUACCAAAUGUUAAGAGCUAUAGGAACUCUGGAAGGAGGUGGUGAUAUGGGAGAAGGAUCCCAGGAGGUUCUAGACCUUGAGCUGUGUGUGGAGGAGGCGAGAGGAGGCGUGGAGGUGACUCAUUCUGGUUGACAUCACCACA
Molecule: long non-coding RNA, 1005 nt
Filed under: Suricata suricatta (meerkat)
Lineage: Eukaryota; Metazoa; Chordata; Mammalia; Carnivora; Herpestidae
Description: lncRNA (ENSSSUG00005001987.1)
Source: RNAcentral